UCCAUCAGCAAUUUGCAGUUGCCAUUUGCCACCCCCAAUCUCGACAACCCUCUUAAUUAGACCCCGUUUCACACGCUCUCGCUCUUUCUGGCUCCUUAAAGUUCUCGCACGCACGCUCCUCUCCUCCGUGCGGCCUUUCUCUCGGAGCAAACCGUCCGCUCUUCCCUUCUCUGCGUCCUUCUUUUUCAUGGCAAACCCGGAGUGCGGGCACGAAAUAAGAGACGUGGGAAGGACUGGCAGAGCCCUUCUCCAGUACAAGACAUUGUUCUUGAGAGUUUCCGUCCACUGCGAAGGCUGCAAGAGAAAAGUCAAGAAGGUCCUUCAGUGCAUUGAAGGCGUUUACCAUACAGAGGUCGACCUGAAGCAACACAAAGUGACCGUGAUCGGCAACGUCGAUGCAGGCACCUUGAUCA
Molecule: long non-coding RNA, 413 nt
Organism: Eucalyptus grandis
Lineage: Eukaryota; Viridiplantae; Streptophyta; Magnoliopsida; Myrtales; Myrtaceae
Exons: 3
Source: RefSeq, a predicted model, not a curated record